CAGACACCUGCAGACCUCCCUCACCGCCUGCGAAGCGAAUUCCCUGCAGAGGAGCAUUCUCUGGAGGAGGAAGCAGGAGAAUCUCGGAAGAAUGGAUCUGGAGUCCCUGCCUCUUGACACCUGUGUUGCCUUUGAGCUUCUCAGUGAUGAACCUUUAAGAGGUCUGGGCGGUGGCGCAGCCUGUUAACUGCACAUGGUACAAGGAUCCAGGUUUCCUACCUGUAGGCGGGAAACUCUGCAAGCGGCAAA
Long non-coding RNA from Erinaceus europaeus (western European hedgehog), 249 nucleotides. RefSeq lists it as uncharacterized. The transcript has 3 exons. NCBI's taxonomy places the organism in Eukaryota, Metazoa, Chordata, Mammalia, Eulipotyphla, Erinaceidae. The record is from RefSeq and is a predicted model, not a curated record.